This 253-nucleotide ribosomal RNA is filed under the name uncultured bacterium. Its description in RNAcentral is "partial 16S ribosomal RNA". It matches the Rfam family "Bacterial small subunit ribosomal RNA", at positions 524 to 776 of the family's 1533-position model. The record is from RNAcentral.
GACGAACCGUGCGAACGUUGUUCGGAAUCACUGGGCUUAAAGGGCGCGUAGGCGGGCUGACAAGUCUGGGGUGAAAUGCCGCGGCUCAACCGUGGAACUGCCUUAGAUACUGACGGCCUCGAGGGAGAUAGGGGCAUGCGGAACUGUAGGUGGAGCGGUGAAAUGCGUUGAUAUCUACAGGAACUCCGGUGGCGAAAGCGGCGUGCUGGAUCUCUUCUGACGCUGAGGCUCGAAAGCUAGGGGAGCAAACGGG